GACAGUUUGGCCGAGUGGUCUAAGGCGCUGGCUUCAGGCGCCAGUCCGAAAGGGCGUGGGUUCGAACCCCACAGCUGUCA
Molecule: non-coding RNA, 80 nt
Organism: Perkinsus marinus ATCC 50983
Lineage: Eukaryota; Perkinsozoa; Perkinsida; Perkinsidae
Source: Rfam